UCAUGCAUUUUCCUAGCAAGGCGGGAAUUUGUGUUGGUAAACUAGGCAGUAGACAUAGGAGCAUGUAACCAAAACCGCGGACAAUGAUGGCGUUUUUAUGGUGUUAUAUCAUAUAAGCUUCCUUCAUUCUUCCCUUCACAUAUACAAAGGGCAAUCAUGGCCACUUCUUCAGCUGUGGAGUACACCAUAGGCGGGGUGAAGAUUAAUUUCCCCUGCAAGGCCUAUCCGUCCCAGCUGGCCAUGAUGAACUCGAUUGUCCGUGGUCUGAACCAUGGACAGCACUGUCUCCUGGAGAGCCCGACAGGGAGUGGGAAGAGCCUGGCACUGCUGUGCUCUGCGCUUGCGUGGCAGCAGGCGCAGUAUGCAAAGGUUGAGAAGAUCAGUGGAAGCCCCUCUGAUGGCUGUAAGAAGCCAGACGUUACCACACCUUGCCAGUGUGCCUGUCAUAGCAGGUCAGCCAGGACCACCACUCCCACCAACACAUCGCCAACGAACCAGGUUAUAGUGGACCUCACAGGCCCAGACACAGAAGCAGCUGCAUGUAGUUCGCAUUCAGCAGGGAAAGAGAAGGAACACCAGGCCAAGAGAGCGUCGCUCGCCUCCAAGCUCUCUGGCAAGUUGCAAGAUUCCCUUAACACCAGUCCGGACAAGGAUGAUGACUUCCAGACUGAUAAGAAACGCCUUCGCACUCCGCCUAUAGACCAGAGGAGCAGUAAGCGGAGGUGUCUGGACCACAACGCGGCGUGCGGGGUGGUCUUCAUCGAUGACGAUGAUGAGGCAGCGAGGCCUGUCCCCAGGGCCCAGAGCUGGACCAUGGAGCUGAGCUCUCAAGCUCGAGCACAGGGGGCCCUGCCCUCUCCAGAGUGCUGCUCCCCUGUGUCCUGUCUUCUGUGUCCCUGCGCCGGCGCCAAAGGCGGGCGGACAGCAGCGGGCGGCGGAGAAAAGGCCCGGGACAAAGAGAAAGAGAAGGGCGGAGGAGAGGCCGCGGAGAAGAAGAAGGUGCCCAAGAUCUUCUUCGGCACGCGUACGCACAAGCAGAUCACGCAGGUGGCACGCGAGCUGAAGCGCACGCUCUACUCCAGCACCCCCAUGACCAUCCUGUCCAGCCGCAACCACUCCUGCGUGCACCCGGAGGUGGCGCCGCACGCUAACCGCAACGAGCGCUGCAAGGAGCUGCUGGACCAAAAGGACGGCCGUAGCUGCAGGUACUACCACAACGUGCACAAGAUGCGGGAGCAGAGCUCCCUGCAGUGGGUGCACGGGCUGCACCAGGCCUGGGACAUCGAGGAGCUGGUCAAGCUGGGCACCAAGCUGCGCUCCUGCGCAUACUACGCCGCCCGCGAGCUCAUGCAGGACGCCAACAUCGUCUUCUGCCCUUACAACUACCUUCUGGACCCCCUCAUCCGCGAGAGUAUGGAGAUCAACCUGAAGGGGCAGAUUGUGGUGCUGGAUGAAGCCCACAACAUCGAGGACUGCGCCCGCGAGAGUGCCAGCUACACGCUCAACCAGAAGGAGCUGCUGGAUGCCCGCGAGGAGCUGGAGUCCAUGGUGAAGCAUGGCAUCCGCCCUGUCCACCACCACCCCCUACUGGCCUUCUGCUGCAGCCUCACCAACUGGGUGCAGGAGAGCUCUGGCGCCCUAAAGGAGAGGGGCUAUGAGAGCUCCUGUAAGGUGUGGACGGGGAAGGAGGUGCUGGCCAUCUUCCACCAGAUGGGCAUCACUGCAGCCACCUUCAGCAUGCUGCAGAAGAACCUGGCUGCGGUGUUGGAGAAGGAGGAGCGCGUGGGGCUGGUCAACGGCCGAGAGGACACUGUCACGGUGCCCACCGUCAGCUCCGGCACCGCCUCCGUCCUCAAGAGCCUCUUCAUGGUCCUCGACUACCUCUACAGACAGGAGAGCAGGUUUGCGGAGGACUACCGGGUGGCGCUGCAGCAGACCUAUGCCUGGACAGUCCAGCCCGAUGUUCCUGACGCUCAGGGCUUCUUCGCCAGGCCACACCGUCGCCGCAACAGUGCCCGCACCAAGACGCUCGUGCACACUCUCAGCUUCUGGUGCCUCAAUCCUGCAGUGGCCUUUUCGGACCUGAGUGGCUCAGUGCGUAGCAUCGUGCUGACCUCAGGCACCCUCUCCCCCAUGGACUCCUUCUCCUCAGAGCUGGGCGUCAGCUUCCCCAUCCAGCUGGAGGCCAGCCAUGUCAUCGGCAGGUCCCAGGUGUGGGUGGGCACGCUGGGCACAGGCCCCCAGGGCCGCAAGCUGUGUGCCACCUUCCAGCACGCGGAGACGUUCACCUUCCAGGACGAGGUGGGGGCGCUGCUGCUGCACGUGUGCCAGACCAUGGGCCCCGGCGUGCUCUGCUUCCUGCCCUCCUACAAGAUGCUGGAUAAGCUGCGAGACCGCUGGAUCAACACGGGACUCUGGGAGAAGCUGGAGGAGCGGAAGACGGUGAUCACAGAGCCUCGCGGUGGCGGCAAGGGCGACUUCGACGAGCUGCUGCAGACCUACUACGAGGCCAUCAGGCACAGCGGCCAGCAAGAUGGUGCGCUGCUGAUAGCCGUGUGCAGAGGGAAGGUGAGUGAAGGACUGGACUUCACUGAUGACAACGCCCGAGCUGUGGUCACCAUCGGAAUCCCCUUCCCCAACAUCAAAGACCUGCAGGUGGAGCUGAAGAUGAAGUAUAAUGAUCAUCACUGUAAAGCUCGGGGCCUGCUGACUGGCAGUCGCUGGUAUGAGAUCCAGGCCUACCGUGCCCUCAACCAGGCCUUAGGCAGGUGUAUCCGCCAUAAGAAUGACUGGGGCGCCCUCAUCCUGGUAGAUGACCGUUUCAGGUCAAAUCCCAACAAGUACAUCACAGGUCUGUCAAAGUGGGUGCGCCAGUUGGUCCAACACCACAACAACUUUGGUGACGCCAUGCAGUCCCUGGUUUCCUUCUCCCAGUGCCAGCAGGGGGCAGCAGAGAACCACGCAGCAGGGAAGACGGAGCAAGUGGCGCUCCCCUGCACCCCCUCCUUCUCUGCCCCUGCAGCCCCAUUCCUGUCCCCACCCCUCAAGCCAGCGGAGCCAGCCCAGCUCCCCCCAGCCAUCCCGGUGGGGGAGUGGAGACUGACGACAGGGCCUUCACCUCAGCUGUGCAGCCCUGCACCCACCUGCCACGGCGCAGACACGGGCACAGGUGACCAGAAGGGCUCGCGUCCUCCGUUGACUCCCCUGGCAAUAGGUGAGAAGGGCAACAAGACCCCGAGGCAGGGCACCCCAAAGCCCCUCCACCAGUUCUUCACCUUGACCCCCAUCAGCGCUCGCUUCAAGGCCCCCAUCUUUCACCCCAAGAGCAGCAGCAAUCCCACAUCCGACCCCACAAAGCCCAGCGCCACCUAUAGGUCGUGUGCAGAAGAAGAGACCUCACCACCACUGACCACCCCACAUGUACAGGCCAAGCCCCCUAACCCUCUCCCUACUAUUGAACUGACUGCGUCCCCAGUAAAGGCCCCCCCUUGCCCCAUACCCGCAGAGGCGGCCAGUCUCUCAGGUCCUGCAGUGGACGCUGAUGGGGAGGGAGAGGAGGAGGAGGAAGAGAAGGAGGAGGACCAGACCGUCUUCUACAGUCCGGAGCUGUUUGGAGAUGAGGAAGAUGAUGCUGCUGAGGACGACGAGGAUGAUGAGGACUGCGUUGUGGUGGUGCCAGAGGAAGAACCUCCGCAGACGACUGAAGGGAGGCCUCAGAAUGGCAUCCCAGAAUCCUCUGUGGCAGCCACAGCCCUUGGACUUUCAGAGGAGCCAUUUGGCUCAGUGGAACUCGGGAGAAGCAGCCGUGCUACUACUGCUUGUGGCCAGCAGGGCAGCGCCACGUGCACAGACUCAAAGAACAGGACCGGGCAAGGGCUAGCAGAGGAGAGGUCAGCGUUGUGCAGCAGCAGGAGAGCAGGUAGCGAGAAGGACACCACAGGUCAGAUGUCAGAGCAGAGACAAACGCAGCAGCAACAGACUCAGGGCAGACAGGCAGGCAGCAGGUCACGCAGGCUCUCCAGGUCUAGGCAGAAAGGGUCAUCUUCCUCAGGUCGCGGCGCUGGAGAGGGUUUGGACACAGCAGGCGACGCCAAGGCGGAGAUUCAGGGCAGACGGCGUGGAAGAGGCAGGGGCACGACAAAGCGGCCUGUGUCUCCACACACACUCACCCCGACUCAGCCACUGGCGACGUGCAGGGCAGUGACCGCCAUGUGUACGUCCAGAACAGGGUGUGAGAGCCAGAGAAGUGUUCGAGCAGGGAGCGGCCAAGGUUGUGAAGCACCAACCAAAGGCAAACAGCCCAGCGUGUUCUGCCAGCAGUACAGCAGGAGCCUGCCCAAGGUGGCAGUGCCCGCAGUGCCAAAGACCUCCAGAAGGAGGAUGGCAGGAAAGGCCUCAGCUGUGCCCCCCUUGCAGGGUCAGGAGGAGGGUGAGAUGGCCUCGCUGAAGGGACGGGGGCAUUUAGAGAGGGCCCGUGCAGGCCCGCCAAUAGUGGGGUUUGAGAUCGUCACCCCUCCUCAACAGAGUAGACUUGCCUCUCUUGUGCAGACUGCAGAGGGAGAAGGCAACAAGCGAGAGGAGGAGGAGGAGAGAUGCCCCACCGAGUCAGCUCAGACAGAGUCCUUAGGAAUCAAAGUUCAGAGGUCACGCCGGAAUCGCAAGGGAGCCCAGACAGGAAGAGGCAGCCAUCAGCCCGAGAGGGAGGCUCCGUGUAUGAGUGGCCUGCACUGUUCUGUUUGCGAUCAGGAGCUGCUCUCUCUUGCGAAAGGCGUGCUGUGUAGCAUUGUGUGCGAGCAAGAGCCCGUGGUCAGCCUGUGGAGGAGCUCCAGGUGGGCCGGCCGAGCUCCAGCCCUCUGCCCCUGCCCCUGCCCGGCAGCCAUCCAGCUCAGCAGGGCUCAGGACCCGGAGAGCCCCCUGCUGCUGCAGGUGGAGAACAUCGCCGCCCUGCAGGGCCUGCAGAGAACACUACUGCCCUACACAGACACAGGCGUGCAGGCGGGUCCGUGUGUGUAUAAUGCACGGUGGGAUCCGGCCGAGUGCUCGGUGACGCUGCUGCUGCAGUGCCAGGGCUGCGCCUCCCUCCGGCCCUUGGGACCUUUCUCCGCCUCAGCCGCCCUCGUCCAGCAUCCCAGGGAGCCUGGCCAAGACCAGAUGUGGCUGGUCCCAGCUGCCAUCAGGUUCUGCUCCAGGAUGCUGAGCUUAAGAGAGGCCGCCGUUUGAGACGAGGAGUGCAGGCCUGGACCCAGGAAUCUCAUCGCCCUCAACAGCCUCAGCCCAGAGCGGCCUAACUAGGCCCACCACCGUAAUCUGUCAAGGGGAUUGGAGUUUCUAGGGGCCUGUGCACAGAGCCAUCUGCUUCAACUCCUCGCCAGCUCAUCUGCCGGCUCAAGCUCCCCAAAGUUCCCGUUGAUUUGCUAGAGCAGUAGGCACUUCCUACACUACAGAGACCCCAGUCCCUCGAAUGGCUUAGUGGAGAGGCAGGAGUGCCGACAAGAUCCAGGACAGGCAGGCGGCCGUAACUCACUGCCCUAAUGACUGUGGUCUGUAGGUCGGCGAGAGGAGGGAAAACCCUGCUCCUCAAGACAUCAUCGCACCCUACACUUUUUAAAAGUCACGCUUGCCGAGGCUGGAAGAAACUCUCAGGAGAAUUAGCCAUUUGAGAUGCAGCUCCACAUAAAUCACCCACAAAAGACGUGUCUGGGCCUCCCACCUCCUCAGGAUCUCUGGACCCCCACUAACUAUAUUACCCCACCUUCCCCAGAUCUCUAGACCUCCACCAACUGUUCAUUCCCAUGCUAGCCAGUGCUAGUGUCCUGACCACAGUCGCAUGAUUGCUCUUUCUGAUUUAAACCAUGCAUCUUUUUGAAUUACUACUUCCAACAUAUUCUGUUAAUUUGCCAUGGCUUCCCAGCCAAAGUAUCAGAUUUACUGUUAAUCCAAAAACCCGCUUAAGGAUUUAAAUGGUCUUGACAAACGUGGACAUUUUUUUAUACUGUUAAUACAGAUAUUUAGGUACCAUUUUGUGUUGUGACAGAUGACACAGGUGUUGUUAGAUUGCUAAACAACACCUGCAGUGAGGUUAAGUAGAGUCAUGCAUACACAUAAACACAUCCAUAGAGAGCCAGAAAGUGAGAAAGAAAGAAAGAAAUCUGUCCUAAGCAGAUUUCCAAAUGAUAGAUCAGCGAUGUAUGUGAAGUUCAGCCAACACCCAGCCCUGAGACUGAGCAGCCUUGCAAGGGUACUAAUGAACCCUAAUGAUUUCCCCCUGUUCCCUACAGACUUUGUCCAGCAUACCCUUUAAAGACAAAACCCCAUCCAGGAGAACUGAGAACUGGGAGGCCAAAAAUACAAUUUAUUCAACAAAUGUGUGCAAAAAAACACUGAAAUAUUCAAAGAAAGUAAUCCCAUACACAUUGGGUCAAAAGACUGCCAUGUAUUUCUUUUUCUUUCUUCUCCCCAAAAUCCUUAAUGUUUUCAAGGCUAGUGCAGACUUUACUUCAUUUUGUCUGCUACACUCUCAGGACUUGCUUUGUGGCUUUCUGCUGGCUGGAUCUGAUCCAACUCAGUCGUUUGGAUCAGGGAUUUGAGCAGAGCUCUCUGUUCUGUUCUGUUCUGCUCAGUUCUGUUCGGCUCUCCUUGUGGCUUAAGAGUGGCCCCUAUGCCCCCAUCUGGUUGAAAAGGGUUUCUCUGAUGUCCCUCGCUCUGAAGCCCAUAGCUCUGGACUGCGUCAGAGUGAGCCCAGGAUGCAGAUCAGAUGGGUCCACUCCAGCUUCAUCCAACUCCGAAAAGAGUGAGAGAGAGAAAGAGAGGAGACACCUACGGUCCACUUCGGACAUUCCAGGAGAAUGACUGUAGACUGUUUUUAGUUAGUGCCAACCUUUGCCAGAACAGACCCAGUUCAGUUUCUCCUUUAAGUUGUUCCUGCUUACAGUCUAAGCCACAAAUAACUACAGUUUGCUUCCAGUCUUUCCACUGGGUUAUUCUUACAAAAACUGCACAGGUCACUUUAGUAGCUGGAUUCUUUCUAGGUCAAAGAAAAAUCUAAACUUAAAGCACAGAUUUUGCAUAAAUACACUGUUGGUGAGGCCUUGAAGUCAACAUGAGUCCAGAGAAGCUGUGAAAAUUAACACAAAACAGUCUCUGUAACCUUGAAUCCCUAUACAUUGAGGGUUGCUUAUAUAAUCUAAAACUAUUAUCUAAUAAUAUUACAAUUAUUUAUGAACUGCUGAUGAAUCUUUCAUAAUGAUUAUCUGCUUGUAAAUAAUUUUGUUAUUUCUUUUAGUGCAACAUAAGGUACUGCAUAAGGAAAACUUCAAAUCAAGUAUCAAAUUUUACAGUUGAGCCAGGACAUCAAAUCCUAGUCUCACCACUAGGACACCACUGUUACCUAAAAUGGCACUUAUGUUUGCACCUGCAUAAACCAACCAGCUUAUUCAGUCCACUCAAAUCCUUCAAUCAAUAUUUCACAUACAUAAAAUAUAAAUUCACGUGUAUAUAAUAUAGGCCAGACAAAUGGAUAUGUUUUAGACUGUAGACGUUUUCAAUCACAGCAUGUCAAGAGCAUAAUUUGUACAUGUUGUGCUUGUGUUUUUUUUUUUUUUUUCUGAGUUGGCAAAAAGACCAUGAACCUUACACUGCUUAUUUUGAAGAUAUCGUGCUUUGCACGAUUUGCACAAUGUCCUUAUCCUCUUCAUAAAAUAUUGUUAGUGUCAUAAACCUGCUGAAAUAAAUAUUUCAUUCGCACAAACCACAGACCAAGCAAACACUGCAUGGAUUGGAUGACUCCCACUCACUAACUAUGGCUUCAGUGUGCAAUUCAGCACCGGCGCUAUGGCUGUCUAAGAUCGUAAUCUCAAUUGCAAAUGCUUCUAGGGGCAGCACCAAGGUAGGACACAGAGGUACACCCACACAUCUUGAUAGGUAAGGCGACCAUGUGCUGAAUUGUUCCUCUGUGCGCACAGGUGCCUCUUUAGCUUUCAGUCCAGUGAGCUCCUACCCCAGUCAGUCCCAUUUGAUAUUGAUAGGCCGAGUCACGUGCGGAGGGGCUUUGGGCUGCGAAGCCAGAAAAAUCCCUGUGG
Molecule: RNA transcript, 8078 nt
Organism: Alosa sapidissima (American shad)
Lineage: Eukaryota; Metazoa; Chordata; Actinopteri; Clupeiformes; Clupeidae
Gene: brip1
Gene name: BRCA1 interacting helicase 1
Exons: 27
Source: RefSeq, a predicted model, not a curated record